This is a long non-coding RNA of Talpa occidentalis (Iberian mole), 1428 nucleotides long. RefSeq lists it as uncharacterized. The transcript is spliced from 3 exons. Lineage: Eukaryota; Metazoa; Chordata; Mammalia; Eulipotyphla; Talpidae. The record is from RefSeq and is a predicted model, not a curated record.
UAAGCCCUUCAGGUCCUAAGUCACUUACUCAUAUCAACAACGUCUUGUACUGGAUGCCAUGUUAUACCCAUUUUAUAAAGUGGGUAAAUGACUGGACCAAGGUCACACAACAAGCACUCAGCCAAAGCAGAUCUAUACAGAUCUAAGGGCCUAGAGCUGCAAGAACUACUUCAGGGGUGAGGAGAGCAGCGAAGUUUGGGACCCUACAAAGCAAAAGGACCUACCAACACACUGGGCACUUGGGCCAACAACACCAUUUGACCAAGCCCCUCGGAUCCAUCUGGUCGGCUUCCCUGCUGCUAAAACCCUCUCUGACAGCUGCCGGGCUGCUCUGCACUGCCCAGGUUCUUGGGCCCCCAUGCCUGGGUAGACUUGCUGCCAAGUACGCCUCAGGUUUAGGAGACCUCAGUUCCAAAUCUGUGCAGUUCCCGCGAUGUCAUCAAGCCUACAGCCAUGCCUGAUUCCCCUGAGGAUCAAGGUGCUCUCUCACCACGAUGUUUAGCGAUGCCAUCACAUGAUAACCAAGAAGUAACUAAACUUGGACAAAGCUAUACAUGGCAAUCAAACACAUUUAGCUGUAACAACAACCUUAGACCCAGUUCAUCUAGCCCAGUUCAUCUACCCCCUCAUUUGAAGGUUAAAAAGACAGGAUCAGAGAGGGGAACUGAUGGUCAGCUGCAACACAGGGGAUCAAUUAUCUACAGAGGUAAUAAUUUCUCUGGACCAGUGCAGGGAUGGAGAGGUGCUAGGUGUGGCCCUGCUUGGAAAGAAGAGCAGGACUGGAAAGUGAACACCAGGGCUCCCCCAGGGCAGGAAAUGGAAGGGGUAUUUGGUUAAUAGUGGGCAUCUCUGUCUCCUUUAAGGUGUUAAUGGAAUAUGUGUCUGAAGAGAUAAUGUGCAGGUUCUGGAAACAUUCAGUCCAUGUCACUGCCUCCAGCCCUCUCUGGGCUCUGCAACAAACCUGGUUCCAUCCUCUUUCCCUUGUACUCAAUUCAGCUAACACGGGCCGAUGCAAUGUCACCGGUGUCCGCCUCAACAAAGGCAAACCAGGUCUAGGUUCCUCAACUCCGCAACAUUCACAUUUGGGAGAGAAAAUGUACUCCUCUCAGCAACCCCAGUUUCCUGCUGGUCCCUAGACCAGUGCUGGGCUCCCCGGGAGGCGAGGUGGGGAGAAGGGCAGGUCAGCCAAAGGGCACCCUUGUGCUUCUGGCCUUUUUGUCAUAAGGGCCUCAGGUCUGAGGUGGUGGCCAUGCUGGUCUCCUGGGUUGGAGGACAGAGAAGGAAACUGAAGCCUCACAUGACAGAGGAUCCAGCUCACGCUGCAGCUUGCGCUGAAGAGCUAAAUGACACGUAAUUCAGUUAAAGGAGAAGGAAGCAAACCUCAUCACAACAGUUGAAAACAUGAAAACAACAAAUAAACAGCUGCUU